UCCCGGUUGGUGUAGUAGGCAGCAUGGCGGUCUUUGAAUCCGUCGGCCCAGGUUCGAGCCCUGGACCGGGAGCCA
RNAcentral lists this transfer RNA (75 nucleotides) under Mycobacteriaceae bacterium. Its description in RNAcentral is "tRNA-Gln". It matches the Rfam family "tRNA". Rfam says of the family: Transfer RNA (tRNA) molecules are approximately 80 nucleotides in length. Their secondary structure includes four short double-helical elements and three loops (D, anti-codon, and T loops). Lineage: Bacteria; Bacillati; Actinomycetota; Actinomycetes; Mycobacteriales; Mycobacteriaceae. The record is from RNAcentral.